Molecule: transfer RNA, 85 nt
Filed under: Felis catus (domestic cat)
Lineage: Eukaryota; Metazoa; Chordata; Mammalia; Carnivora; Felidae
Also listed under: 2 other names
Rfam family: tRNA
About the family: Transfer RNA (tRNA) molecules are approximately 80 nucleotides in length. Their secondary structure includes four short double-helical elements and three loops (D, anti-codon, and T loops). Further hydrogen bonds mediate the characteristic L-shaped molecular structure. tRNAs have two regions of fundamental functional importance: the anti-codon, which is responsible for specific mRNA codon recognition, and the 3' end, to which the tRNAs corresponding amino acid is attached (by aminoacyl-tRNA synthetases). tRNAs cope with the degeneracy of the genetic code in two manners: having more than one tRNA (with a specific anti-codon) for a particular amino acid; and 'wobble' base-pairing, i.e. permitting non-standard base-pairing at the 3rd anti-codon position.
Source: Rfam by way of RNAcentral
GCCCGGGUGGCUCAGUUGGUUAAGCAUCUGACUUUGGCUCAGGUCAUGAUCUCGCGGUUUGUGGGUUUGAGCCCCACAUUGGGCU